Salvelinus sp. IW2-2015 is the source of this 1855-nucleotide non-coding RNA. NCBI's taxonomy places the organism in Eukaryota, Metazoa, Chordata, Actinopteri, Salmoniformes, Salmonidae. The record is from RefSeq and is a predicted model, not a curated record.
UUCGCAUUAUGCAUGGGUGUAAAUCUUGACUUCUCUUUAGUUUUUUUGUUUUCCUUUCUCUUUCUAUUCUCUCCUUCCCGUUCUUCUUUUGCAUGGCCUCAGUCUGCAUGCCUCUGUCGCCGUCAGACUUGGAGAUUGACUGUGAUCUGCUCUUGGUUUCCAAAGCCUACAAUCUUGGCCAAGAGGAGACAGACUGGUUUGAGAAGCCCAGGGACCUGCGCUCCGGCUCCCGUCACUACGGCAGUGGAGGCCACUCCUCGUCCGGCCGCAGCCGCCACGUCAAGCACACCUACCACGACUACGAGGAGCCCACAGAGGAGGACCUGUGGCCCCAGGACGAGUAUGGCCAAGCCCGUCACUCCUCCUCGCGGGACCACCGCCCCCACGGCAGCGGCAGCUCCGGGAGACACUCCUCUACGUCCCGCCACUCGGACGAGCCCCGCUCCGCUCGCUCCUCCAAGGGCCAUCCCAAAGACCCGUCCAUGCGCCACGACUCCCGCCAGUUGUCCUCGUCGGGAAAGAGGGGCGACACCCGCUCCCAGGGGGGGUAUCACUCGUCAGACUACUCCAGGGACCCCUCGGGCCACCACCACAGCCAGGGCCGCUCCACCAAGUCCUCGUCCUCUCACGAUGGGCGGACUUCCUCCAGGAAGCAGCAGGACCUCCAGGGCUACACUUCCUCUACCUCCAGGGGCCAGGGCAGCUCUGGACGUGGGCAGGGCUCCACCAGUGGGCCUCCUGGCUCCAGGGGACAGGGUCCUACCUCCCAGCAGGACGGGCUGCAGCCAGGCCAACGCACCCAGCUGCAGCAGCAGCCCCAGACCUCGGCGGCACGGCAGACAGGCACCAUCCCUGCAGGCACCACUCCUGGGGGCCAGCAGCCUCUGGGCCCGGGCCAAGCCCAGCAGGGUCUACAGGCGAAGCCUGGUCAGCUUGGUCCUGGUCAGGCCAGUCGCCAGCCACAGGCAGGAGGCGCACUGGGGCAACUGCCACCAACUGUGGCACCUGUCGCAAACACACCCCCUGUGACUGCCAUAGGGGCCAAAGCUGUCAUAGGAGGGGCGGCCCAGCCUGCAAAAACACCUCAACCCCCACUCACAGGAAUAGGCUCCAAGGCCGCCCCUAGACCCGGUGGCAUUGGGAGCGCGGCAGCGGGUCAACCUGGGAUGGAGGGGGAGAGUCUCCUCUCCAAGGUCCUACCAGGAAACCCUGCGGAGGCAGCAGGAAAACUAGGAGAAGCUAUCUCCGGUUUCGGCAAGAAGUUCACCUCGUUGUGGUGAGGUGUUGAGAUGAGGGUGUCUGUAAAUGUUAUGGAGGAUGUCGUGAGGCUUCGUACCAGAAAAACCUAGGAAGACCCCGCUUUGUUUUACUGUGAGAGAGAGAGAGAGAGAGAGAGGGAGGGAGGGAGAAAUACAGCGACCAAGAGAAGAUAUCUGAGUGCACUGCCAAUGAGGACAGGAAUCAAUGGAUGCUGCAUGUACCAGGUCUAUGCACACAAUGGGAGAGAAACAAUGCUGAUUUCUCUGGCCGGCCAGACAAACGGUUUGAGGCCCCCAGACUGCAAUGCCCCCAGCCAAAGAACAAGGACACUGACACCUGAGCCCCCCUGAACACCUAAGCCAUCACAAGCCCUGAGGAUCCCUCCAGAGAGAGGCUAGCUGGAUAGAGAGCCUGAUCCCUGCCACUAUCUGGGUCUUCACCACCAGGAUGUCUCCUCAAGAACCAUCACCUCCCAAACAGCCAUUAUCCUUUGGGGAAUGGGCUCUAUACUAAGGAAUACUCCACCCAGCUGCUCUAUAGGAGCAUGGAAAGGGGCCGUAGUACUGUGACCCCGCAACACGCUAAUGAUGCUAUC